RNAcentral lists this ribosomal RNA (247 nucleotides) under uncultured bacterium. RNAcentral's name for it is "partial 16S ribosomal RNA". It matches the Rfam family "Bacterial small subunit ribosomal RNA", at positions 523 to 769 of the family's 1533-position model. The record is from RNAcentral.
AUACGAAGGGGGCUAGCGUUGUUCGGAAUUACUGGGCGUAAAGCGCAUGUAGGCGGACAUUUAAGUCAGGGGUGAAAUCCCGGGGCUCAACCCCGGGACUGCUUUGGAAACUGUGGUGCUAGAGUGCAGGAGAGGUAAGUGGAAUUCCGAGUGUAGAGGUGAAAUUCGUAGAUAUUCGGAGGAACACCAGUGGCGAAGGCGGCUUACUGGUCCAUUACUGACGCUGAGGUGCGAAAGCGUGGGGAGC